GGAGGCUACCGAGGUAAACAUUUUUGUGACAGAACUGCAGGAGCCGCAGAGGUUCCAGUAUGGGUUUGCCUUUCCUUUUGGUCUUGUCUGCCACAGUGAUUCUUAUCAAACCCGAAACACCUGUAACAAAGGCCCUGCAUCAGAACUCACUCGAGUGCUGCAGCGAG
This is a long non-coding RNA of Nematolebias whitei (Rio pearlfish), 167 nucleotides long. RefSeq lists it as uncharacterized. The record is from RefSeq and is a predicted model, not a curated record. The transcript has 3 exons. Lineage: Eukaryota; Metazoa; Chordata; Actinopteri; Cyprinodontiformes; Rivulidae.